CCUACGGGAGGCAGCAGUGAGGAAUAUUUGUCAAUGGACGAGAGUCUGAACCAGCCACGUAGCGUGAAGGAUGAAUGCCCUAUGGGUUGUAAACUUCUUUUAUAAAGGAAUAAAACGAGGCACGUGUGCCUUUUUGCAUGUACUUUAUGAAUAAGGAUCGGCUAACUCCGUGCCAGCAGCCGCGGUAAUACGUAGGAUCCGAGCGUUAUCCGGAUUGAUUGGGUUUAGAGGGAGCGUAGAUGGGUUGUUAAGUCCGUUGUGAAAGUUUGCGGAUCAACCGUAAAAUUGCAAUUGAUACUGGCAGUCUUGAGUGCAGUUGAGGUAGGCGGAAUUCGUGGUGUAGCGGUGAAAUGCUUAGAUAUCACGAAGAACCCCGAUUGCGAAGGCAGCUUACUAAACUGUGACUGACAUUGAUGCUCGAAAGUGUGGGUAUCAAACAGGAUUAGAUACCCUUGCAGUC
RNAcentral lists this ribosomal RNA (460 nucleotides) under uncultured bacterium. RNAcentral's name for it is "partial 16S ribosomal RNA". It matches the Rfam family "Bacterial small subunit ribosomal RNA", at positions 338 to 795 of the family's 1533-position model. The record is from RNAcentral.